GAUGAACGCUAGCGGGAGGCCUAACACAUGCAAGUCGAGCGGUAUGGGUAGCUUGCUACGCAGAGAGGGGCGUACGGGUGCGUAACACGUGUGCAACCUGCCCCUAUCCGGGGGAUAGCCGUCCGAAAGGAGGAUUAAUACCCCAUAAUAUAGCUGUUGGCAUCCCUAGAUAUUGAAAACCCCUGUGGAUAGGGAUGGGCACGCGCAAGAUUAGAUAGUUGGCGGGGUAACGGCCCACCGAGUCGGUGAUCUUUAGGGGUCCUGAGAGGGAGAUCCCCCACACGGGUACUGAGACACGGACCAGGAUCCUACGAGAGGCAGCAGUGAGGAAUAUUAGACAAGGGGGGGAAGCCUGAUCCAGCCGGCCCGCGUGAGGGACGACGGCCCUAUGGGUGGUAAACCUCUUUUGUACGGGGAUAGCCCUAUUUACGUGUAGAUAGCUGAAGGUACCGGACGAAUAAGCACCGGCUAACUCCGUG
RNAcentral lists this ribosomal RNA (479 nucleotides) under uncultured bacterium. RNAcentral's name for it is "partial 16S ribosomal RNA". It matches the Rfam family "Bacterial small subunit ribosomal RNA", at positions 28 to 507 of the family's 1533-position model. The record is from RNAcentral.